GGGCAUAUAGCUCAGCUGGAUAGAGCGUUGGCCUCCGAAGCCAAAGGCCACAAGUUCGAAUCUUGUUAUGCCCG
This 74-nucleotide transfer RNA is filed under the name Myxococcales bacterium. RNAcentral's name for it is "tRNA-Arg". It matches the Rfam family "tRNA". From Rfam's summary of the family: Transfer RNA (tRNA) molecules are approximately 80 nucleotides in length. Lineage: Bacteria; Pseudomonadati; Myxococcota; Myxococcia; Myxococcales. The record is from RNAcentral.